This 253-nucleotide ribosomal RNA is filed under the name uncultured bacterium. Its description in RNAcentral is "partial 16S ribosomal RNA". It matches the Rfam family "Bacterial small subunit ribosomal RNA", at positions 524 to 776 of the family's 1533-position model. The record is from RNAcentral.
UACAGAGACUGCAAGCGUUAUUCGGAUUCACUGGGCGUAAAGGGUGCGCAGGCGGCCAAGUGUGUGAGGCGUGAAAGCCUGGGGCUUAACCCCAGAAUUGCACCUCAAACUACUUGGCUAGAGCAUUGGAGAAGGUAGCAGAAUUCAUGGUGUAGCAGUGAAAUGCGUAGAUAUCAUGAGGAAUACCAGAGGCGAAGGCGGCUACCUGGACAAUUGCUGACGCUCAGGCACGAAAGCGUGGGGAGCAAAAGGG